CGCCGCCCGCGACACUGCGAGAAGUCCAUUGAACCUUAUCAUUUAGAGGAAGGAGAAGUCGUAACAAGGUUUCCGUAGGUGAACCUGCGGAAGGAUCAUUGUCGA
This 105-nucleotide ribosomal RNA is filed under the name Polystachya sp. MG-2013. Its description in RNAcentral is "partial 18S ribosomal RNA". It matches the Rfam family "Eukaryotic small subunit ribosomal RNA", at positions 1731 to 1831 of the family's 1831-position model. The record is from RNAcentral. Lineage: Eukaryota; Viridiplantae; Streptophyta; Magnoliopsida; Asparagales; Orchidaceae.